AUUGAACGCUGGCGGAAUGCUUUACACAUGCAAGUCGAACGGUAGAGAGGGCAACCCCUCGAGAGUGGCGAACGGGUGAGUAAUAUAUCGGAACGUGCCCAGUCGUGGGGAUAACGUAGCGAAAGUUACGCUAAUACCGCAUACGAUCUAAGGAUGAAAGCGGGGGAUCGCAAGACCUCGCGCGAUUGGAGCGGCCGAUAUCAGAUUAGGUAGUUGGUGGGGUAAAGGCUCACCAAGCCAACGAUCUGUAGCUGGUCUGAGAGGACGACCAGCCACACUGGAACUGAGACACGGUCCAGACUCCUACGGGAGGCAGCAGUGGGGAAUUUUGGACAAUGGACGCAAGUCUGAUCCAGCCAUUCCGCGUGCAGGAUGAAGGCCCUCGGGUUGUAAACCGCUUUUGUACGGAACGAAAAGGUCUCUCUUAAUACGGGGGACUCAUGACGGUACCGUAAGAAUAAGCACCGGCUAACUACGUGCCAGCCGCCGCCGUAA
RNAcentral lists this ribosomal RNA (495 nucleotides) under uncultured bacterium. RNAcentral describes it as "partial 16S ribosomal RNA". It matches the Rfam family "Bacterial small subunit ribosomal RNA", at positions 30 to 523 of the family's 1533-position model. The record is from RNAcentral.